Molecule: long non-coding RNA, 1861 nt
Organism: Ornithodoros turicata
Lineage: Eukaryota; Metazoa; Arthropoda; Arachnida; Ixodida; Argasidae
Exons: 4
Source: RefSeq, a predicted model, not a curated record
UGUAUGCACGUCGUCGACUUAUAGCUUUGGUUCCUGGGAUCAGCUUAUAGGAAAAGGAACAACUGCUUGUCAUUGGAGCGAAAUGUCAUCUGAGAACUCCGACAGGCGUGACGAUUCCGACGACACGUCUAGUGAAUCUGAGCCGGGCGACCAUUUCUACCUUGAUCCUCUUGUCUCCAAUUCGUCAUCAGUCUCAUCAGACUCGUCUGACGCUUUUGAUUUUUCGUAACCUGAAGGAACGGAGGACCACCUUUCCAUUCGGAGAGAAAACACUGAUUGGUGUGCCUGCGAAAAUUGCACAAGAAUGCCAACAGGAAGAGAACGCAUCUGUUGCACAGAGGUGGACGAAGGGAGGAGCAAAAUUCUCCCAGGGCACAAGUGCAUCUUAGACAACCCUCAUUUCCGUUCAUUCUGCCUAGACCGACACCUUCUGGAAAUUGAAAUGGAAAAGGUCAUGUAUUAUCACCCUGAAGUAAGAACCGUGAAAGAUGAGAAGGCUCGUUUCAGGCACACAUCAUACCGCCAAGUAGUAUGGUUCCUUCACAGGCGAAGUCUUGGGAAGGGAACAGAGUGAUCAUCCCAAGCUGUGUUGUCACGGAAGUGCGGCGAACAUUCCCAUCACCAACAGGGAUAUACAGAGGAUUUUCACCGUUUUAGGGUGGCAAGCCAUUGACCAUCGUCACUCUGCUGGGUCAUCCCCUCCAGGCAUAGCUUCCAAGGUAGCUUCUGUGCACUGCCCUGCAGAGUGGAACACAAGCAGUUGUCACAUCUGUGUAUCGCCUCAGUUAUGUACACAAAACGUGUGAAUGCAAUACCGGUUGUACUGCAUGCAACAAAAGACACGGUUUAAAAGCUAUAAAAACCCCUGUGCUGGAAACAAAAUGACGACAGAAUGCUCAACACAGAAUUCUUUUGUUUGUUUCCCGGCACGGGUGUUUUUAUCGCUUUUAAAGUAUUAAAUAACGAAUAGCCCAAGUUUUAACCAUUUACAAGACUUAGAACGCCAUACGGUACCACAGUUGGACGGAGAAACGCCACGACUACAAUGAGGGUAAUAGUUGUUACAAAUUUACUGUGCUAUUUAAACGUGGAGACAGCUGCAUACAGCACAAUCACAAUGCACAGAUUGCUAAACUCGAGAGCAAGCCAUAACACCUAUUCUAUGCAGCUAUAACAAAGUUAAUGUAAUUUCUUUUCUCACGUGUUCCUUGAGGGAUUUGAAUUGUAGGUAAGUGGCCACAUGUUUAUCGCUACAAAGUAUGCACGGCCGAAUAGCAGACCUUGCUUGCAAACUUUGAAGCAUGAGAGUGAUUAGUAAUGUGAUGUUGUUUAGUACCGCACCUGUGGAAAACCUACUCUGAUGGUGUUCCACCAGAUCAGAUUUCGAACGUCUUGUGCGAGUGCUAGCUACAGGUGGAGGCACAGGUACAGGCGGCCUGCUGUGUUGCGUUUCGCACAGCUCCAAAGUGCACGCAAUCAACUUCUCGAUGUAGCCUAUACACAUGAGAUAAAUAAAACUGAAUGAACAGUCAUUAUUGUUUAGACAGUAGUGUUUCACAACAUUCAUUAGCUAUGUCUGCAAUUAGUUAAUGCUCAGGAGUUUGCCAUUUUUUAAUGUUGUUGUGAUGCCUUCUCAUGCAAUUAGAUGGAAGUGGGAAAAGCUACUGCUAUCAGCUUACCAAACGUUGCAGCUCCUUUAAAUGGGGUCACCACAAUGUCACGGUUUUUUCCCUUCGGAUACUUCAGUUUCCACAUCAGGACACCGCUCUUUGUCUUUACUUGUACCCUUCCAGCGUUUUCAUUAAAAUGGAGAGCAGCAAGUGUAGUCCUAAACGAUACGUAAUUGAAGAGAAAUAAAAAA